This 1832-nucleotide long non-coding RNA is filed under the name Capsicum annuum. RNAcentral describes it as "long non-coding RNA (CANN_LNC006977)". The record is from RNAcentral. Lineage: Eukaryota; Viridiplantae; Streptophyta; Magnoliopsida; Solanales; Solanaceae.
AGUCCUCAUAAUUUAUUAUACAUAGCGAUGUUUAUACAAAAUUAUUACAAACCUGAAUUUCAAUAAACAAAAAAUAAGAGGAAAUGGUGAAGACGGCUAGACAUCUGUUAGGCAGCAGCAUUUAUAACGCGAUCCGAUCUUGGCUUAAUAUUGUACCUGCUCAAGCACAAUAAAAAAAAUACACAACCACAAAACAACCCAUUUUUACACUAAAACUAUGAACGACCCACAAACAUGUAUCCUUACACUUAUUGAGAAAGCAGAAUUUCGAUCAUUAAUAGACAGUAUAACAAGCAAGUUUACCAAGGAUCGAACAGUCACAAAAUCAUAUCACUCAAAAAGUUUAAGGAAUGCGCACUAAAUAACCAAAAAAAAAAAACUAGUUUACAGAAGAUAAGAAAACUAAUCGAUUAAUAGGGAUAAACGGAUGAAAGAAGAAAAGAAAACUAAACUUUAGUUGCACUCAAGCAUGCAAGGACUAGUUCUUAAGGAAUAUCAACAAGAUGAAAGUUCAAGAUGAUUUGGAUGUCAUUAGCCAAAAGUUAAAAAUGUUAUUUGGAUGUAGAAAGCAAUAGUGUUCAGAUUUUCCCUAAUGAAGGAGCAAGACUCCCUUUUUAUAGUCAGGGAGUUAUAGUCAAUCACGUAAUAAAAGAAAAAAUAAUAUUUAGCUAAUCAAUUCAAGUUAAAAUUUCUUAAAUGGUGAAAUCAAUCUUGAUUCAAAUUGCCAUAAAUAAGUAAAGAAAAGCAGCCCAACUAUUAAAGGAAACCAAAAAAUGGGUAAAGAAUAAAAUCAAACAACUACAAUACCAUUUAUUUUUACCACAAUUAACCAAAUAAAUAAAGAGAUCUGACCAAACAUAAAUGGAUAAGAGAAUCGACAAAUCAACACAAGAAUUUUUUUUUCAUAUAAUUUGAGUUAAUUCGGAUGGAGAAAAAUCCUAGUGUAUCAUAAUUUUUUCAAAAUCAAGCAAUCAAACCAAUCAAAUCGUAUCAUAAUUAGUUAACAAAAUAGUUCAAAUACACAUAAGAAGUCCAUCACAAUUCGAAAUCAGUGAAACAAAGAACAAAAAAAUCAGAAUGGAGAAACUUGUAAUUAAAAUUAAAAUUAGGGUUUCAAAACAGUCUAUGAAAAUUAGGACUUUUAACAUAUGAUAGCAUGCAUGAUUAAGCAAACAUGAAUCACAAAUUCCUCAACCUACUUUGCCAAUUUCAGGUCACAAAAUUUGCCAAAGUGAAGCAAAAUAAAAGGUAGAAAGGGUUUUAACAAUUAAACAUAAAAUUAAAUGUGGGAUGGGUCCUCAAGAACCAAUCAUUUUCAGUGACGAAGGCGGCGACAGCGAUGAGAAGGUGGGAGGCUGGUUACGCAAUUCCGCCAUCGACAGCGGGAAUUUUUAUUGGGUUUGUCGGCGGAAAGUACAGCGACUGUUGAGUUUCGCCGGCGGAUUCGGCUGGUGACUCCACCGGAUUGGUUCUGCGAUGGGCGACGGUGGUAGAAAAUGAAGGCUGGUGGCUGAACGGAGCUAGAGACGAGAAGGAGAAGUGAGGUAGUUGUGCAUUGUUGGUGGUUCGCUGGAGAAGGUGGGCUGUCGGUGGACUGGCCGGCACUGGUCGGCGUCGGCGAAAAAGAGAGAGAGUAUAGGGAAGGCAACUGAUUUUGUUUUUUGGGGAAAUAAGAUUAAGGUUUGGGGAUUUAAUAUCAAUUUAGGCUAAAAUUGAUAUUAUUUGGAUAAAAUCAGGCUAGAAAUUAAAUAAAUUGAGAAAAAAAUAAAUAGAAGUAGACUAUUAUUUAGUAAAUAUUGUAUAAUUAGUAGAGAACAAUAGUCGAUAACAAG